GCCAGGUGUAGUAUCGUGUGCCUGUAGUCCCAGCUACUCAGGAGGCUGAGACAGAAGAAUUGCUUGAACCCUGGGAGAUGGAGGUUGCAGUGAGCCAAGAUCGUGCCACUGCACUCCAGCCUGGGUGACAGAGCAAGACUCUGUCUCUUAAAANNNNNNNNNNUUUUAAGAGACAGAGUCUUGCUCUGUCACCCAGGCUGGAGUGCAGUGGCACGAUCUUGGCUCACUGCAACCUCCAUCUCCCAGGGUUCAAGCAAUUCUUCUGCCUCAG
This 271-nucleotide signal recognition particle RNA is filed under the name Chlorocebus sabaeus (green monkey). RNAcentral describes it as "Metazoan signal recognition particle RNA". It matches the Rfam family "Metazoan signal recognition particle RNA". From Rfam's summary of the family: The signal recognition particle (SRP) is a universally conserved ribonucleoprotein. It is involved in the co-translational targeting of proteins to membranes. The eukaryotic SRP consists of a 300-nucleotide 7S RNA and six proteins: SRPs 72, 68, 54, 19, 14, and 9. Lineage: Eukaryota; Metazoa; Chordata; Mammalia; Primates; Cercopithecidae. The record is from Rfam by way of RNAcentral.